Molecule: unclassified non-coding RNA, 348 nt
Filed under: soil metagenome
Description: partial contains 5.8S ribosomal RNA, internal transcribed spacer 2, and large subunit ribosomal RNA
Rfam family: 5.8S ribosomal RNA (bases 1-120)
Source: RNAcentral
GAUGAAGAACGCAGCGAAAUGCGAUAAGUAAUGUGAAUUGCAGAAUUCAGUGAAUCAUCGAGUCUUUGAACGCACAUUGCCCCCCCUGGUAUUCCGGGGGGCAUGCCUGUCCGAGCGUCAUUGCUGCCCUCAAGCACGGCUUGUGUGUUGGGCCCCCGUCCCCGGUUUCCCCCGGGGACGGGCCCGAAAGGCAGCGGCGGCACCGCGUCCGGUCCUCGAGCGUAUGGGGCUUUGUCACCCGCUCUGUAGGCCCGGCCGGCGCCAGCCGACACCCAACUUUAUUUCUAAGGUUGACCUCGGAUCAGGUAGGGAUACCCGCUGAACUUAAGCAUAUCAAUAAGCGGAGGA